RNAcentral lists this unclassified non-coding RNA (240 nucleotides) under soil metagenome. Its description in RNAcentral is "partial contains 5.8S ribosomal RNA, internal transcribed spacer 2, and large subunit ribosomal RNA". The record is from RNAcentral.
AACUGAUACUACCUGCGGGAACCUGCGGAAGGAUCAUUACCGAGUUUACAAAACUCCCAAACCCUUUGUGAACCUUACCUAUCGUUGCUUCGGCGGGAACGCCCCGGCGCCCUCGCGGCCCGGAACCAGGCGCCCGCCGGAGGCCCCAAACCCUCAUGUCUUUAGUGGUUUCCUCCUCUGAGUGACAUAAACAAAUAAAGUAAAAACUUUUAGCAAUGGAUCUCUAGAUCGGAAGAGCAC